UGAAUACGAGACGCUAAGGCGUCGAAGUAGUGUAUGUCAUACUUCCAAGAAAAGCUUGCACUGUCAUAAGUAAAAAAUGCCUGUACCAUAACCGACACAGGUGGGUAGGUAGAGUAUACUAAGGGGCGCGAGAUAACUCUCUCUAAGGAACUCGGCAAAAUAACUCCGUAACUUCGGGAGAAGGAGUACCUUAUUCUAUAAGGUUGCAAUAACAAGAUCCAAGCAACUGUUUAUCAAAAACACAGGUCUCCGCUAAGUCGUAAGACGAUGUAUGGGGGCUGACGCCUGCCCAGUGCCAGAAGGUUAAAGAAGUCGGUUAGCAUUAGCGAAGCUGGUAACUGAAGCCCUGGUGAACGGCGGCCGUAACAAUAACGGUCCUAAGGUAGCGAAAUUCCUUGUCGGGUAAGUUCCGACCCGCACGAAAGGCGUAAUGAUUUGGAUACUGUCUCGGAGAGGGGCUCGGUGAAAUAGACUUGUCUGUGAAGAUGCGGACUACCUGCACCAGGACAGAAAGACCCUAUGAAGCUUUACUGUAACUUGAAAUUGAAAUUGGACUUUAUUCGCGCAGUAUAGGUGGGAGGUGUUGAUUAUAAUCUUGCGGGAUUAUUGGAGCCAUCAGUGAGAUACCACUCUUGUAAUGUUAGAUUUCUAACUUUGAAUCAUUAUCUGGUCAAAGGACAGCUUCAGGCGGGCAGUUUGACUGGGGCGGUCGCCUCCCAAACGGUAACGGAGGCGUACAAAGGUUUCCUCUGAACGGGUAGAAAUCGUAUCUAGAGUGUAAAGGCAUAAGGAAGCUUGACUGUGAGACCUACAAGUCGAACAGGGACGAAAGUCGGUCUUAGUGAUCUGACGGUACUGAGUGGAAAGGCCGUCACUCAACGGAUAAAAGUUACUCUAGGAUAACAGGCUGAUCUCCCCCAAGAGUUCACAUCGACGGGGAGGUUUGGCACCUCGAUGUCGGCUCAUCGCAUCCUGGGGCGGUAGUACGUCCCAAGGGUUGGGCUGUUCGCCCAUGAAAGCGGUACGCGAGCUGGGUUCAGAACGUCGUGAGACAGUUCGGUCCAUAUCCGGUGUAGGCGUUAGAAUAUUGAGAGGAGCCUUCUUUAGUACGAGAGGACCGAGAAGGACAUACCUCUGGUGUACCAGUUAUCGUGCCAACGGUAAACGCUGGGUAGCUAUGUAUGGAGUGGAUAACCGCUGAAAGCAUCUAAGUGGGAAGCCCACCUCAAGAUAAGUAUUCUCAU
RNAcentral lists this ribosomal RNA (1244 nucleotides) under metagenome. RNAcentral's name for it is "bacterial LSU rRNA". It matches the Rfam family "Bacterial large subunit ribosomal RNA", at positions 1564 to 2817 of the family's 2925-position model. The record is from RNAcentral.